Molecule: transfer RNA, 69 nt
Filed under: Potamanthellus edmundsi
Lineage: Eukaryota; Metazoa; Arthropoda; Insecta; Ephemeroptera; Neoephemeridae
Description: tRNA-Lys
Source: RNAcentral
CACUAAAUGUCUGAGAGUAAGUAACGGUCUCUUAAACCGCAUACAAUAAAGUAACGUAUAUUUUUAGUG